GGGAGGUAGUGACAAUAAAUAACAAUACGGGGUUCUUUCAGAUUUCGUAAUUGGAAUGAGUACAAUUUAAAUCCCUCAACGAGGAACAAUUGGAGGGCAAGUCUGGUGCCAGCAGCCGCGGUAAUUCCAGCUCCAAUAGCGUAUAUUAAGUUGUUGCAGUUAAAAAGCUCGUAGUUGUAUUUUGGGGUUAGUAGGUUGGUCAUACCUCUGGUAUGUACUGGCUUCACUGAUUCCUCCUUCCUGAUGAGCCGUAAUGCCAUUAAUUUGGUGUUGCGAGGAAUCUGGACUGUUACUUUGAAAAAUUAGAGUGUUUAAAGCAGGCUCACGCUUGAAUACAUUAGCAUGGAAUAAUGAAAUAGGACGUUUGAUUCUAUUUUGUUGGUUUCUAGGAUCGACGUAAUGAUUAAUAGGGAUAGUUGGG
This 421-nucleotide ribosomal RNA is filed under the name uncultured Glomeraceae. Its description in RNAcentral is "SSU rRNA". It matches the Rfam family "Eukaryotic small subunit ribosomal RNA", at positions 459 to 886 of the family's 1831-position model. Lineage: Eukaryota; Fungi; Glomeromycota; Glomeromycetes; Glomerales; Glomeraceae. The record is from RNAcentral.